AAAUGGCCAAAUGUUCUGACCCUAUUCAUAGCCAUGCAAAUGGCCAAAUCAGGCUUAAAAAAGAAGGGGGUGGUGACUCAGGGCUUGAGCCAAGCACUAGCCAUUGGGAAGUUAGAAGGAGAUUUCCCCAUAAAUAAGUUUCUCCAUAAUUGUUCAC
Dermochelys coriacea (leatherback sea turtle) is the source of this 157-nucleotide long non-coding RNA. RefSeq lists it as uncharacterized. The record is from RefSeq and is a predicted model, not a curated record. The transcript is spliced from 3 exons. Lineage: Eukaryota; Metazoa; Chordata; Testudines; Dermochelyidae.